CACCCGGAACUCACGCUGGCCCGCGAGCGCCGCGCGCAGCCCUGGUUCCCGCCCGCGGCUCUCUCUCCACACAUCCCCGCAAGCUGAGGGAGCCAGCUCCGGCCUUGGCCAGCCCAGAAAAGGGCUCCCACAGUGCAGGGGCGGGCUGAAGGGCUCCUCAAGUGCCGCCAAAGUGGGAGCCCAGGCAGAGGAGGCGCCGAGAGCGAGCGAGGGCUGUGAGGACUGCCAGCACGCUGUCACCUCUCAGUCAGAGCCCACAGAUAAUAGCAACACACUAAGGUCCUCAAGGUACAUCGUUGGGAUCAAGCAACUUUGAUCCCAAGGAGAAGAAUAAAAACAAGAGGGACGACUGGGCCAAGGUGCCAUGUGAAGUGACCUGUGAGGAUCAACCCAGUGAAGAUGCUUGAGGAAGACAUGCUAGAGCAAAAACUACAACUCUGGUCCUCUUGGAUAUUUUAGAUAAGGACUUUACCCACAUAAAGAAGGUGUUGCCCUGGGGACUGGCUGAGAGAAAUUACAGACUGUUACUCACUUCAAAAGAAACGGACUGCUACAGUGGUACUUACGUCACCAGAAAGAAACACUUCCACAAAGAAUUUGAUUUGAUGGCAUCAUGUGGACAUAGAACUCUCAUAGUAAUGACCCAACCUGUGUUUCCAGUCAUCCUGAUGAACUCUCAACAAAAUCAGAUUGUUAUACUGUUGUUCUCACUUUACACCGAUAUUUUCUCUUGCUCCUAAAAAAAGUAUCUGGUAUUAAAUAGAAUUCUGUAUCUUAAAAAACUUGCCAUUGAGAAAAAUGAGAAGUAACUGUACAUUUUAAUACUGAAGGUUUUAAUAAAAAAAGCAGUGUGAACUAUC
Molecule: long non-coding RNA, 860 nt
Filed under: Homo sapiens (human)
Lineage: Eukaryota; Metazoa; Chordata; Mammalia; Primates; Hominidae
Description: novel transcript
Source: RNAcentral